Molecule: ribosomal RNA, 253 nt
Filed under: uncultured bacterium
Lineage: Bacteria
Description: partial 16S ribosomal RNA
Rfam family: Bacterial small subunit ribosomal RNA
Source: RNAcentral
GACGAACCAUGCGAACGUUGUUCGGAAUCACUGGGCUUAAAGGGCGCGUAGGCGGGUAGCCAAGUCGGUGGUGAAAUCUUUCGGCUUAACCGGAAAAUUGCCAUAGAUACUGGCUGUCUUGAGGGAGGUAGGGGCAGAUGGAACUUCCAGUGGAGCGGUGAAAUGUGUUGAGAUUGGAAGGAACGCCGGUGGCGAAAGCGAUCUGCUGGACCUCUGCUGACGCUGAGGCGCGAAAGACAGGGUAGCGAACGGG